This is a long non-coding RNA of Micropterus salmoides (largemouth bass), 302 nucleotides long. RefSeq lists it as uncharacterized. The transcript is spliced from 3 exons. Lineage: Eukaryota; Metazoa; Chordata; Actinopteri; Centrarchiformes; Centrarchidae. The record is from RefSeq and is a predicted model, not a curated record.
CUUUGACCCCAGCGAGUACUUCCUGUUCUGUGGAGGGCAGCGACGGAAAACAUUUUCCAGGUGUCUCUGUGCAGCCAGAGUCUCAGUCGGGACAAAUCCUUCCAGUCCGACAACGAUGGGAACCAGGUCUUCAAAGGACACAGGAACCUGGUGACGUGUCUCUCGGUGUCGAUGGACGGGACUCUCCUUCUCUCUGGGUCGCAUGAUGAGACGGUUCGACUCUGGGACGUCCAAAGCAAACAGAGCAUCCGCUGCCUCGCUCACAAAGGUAAGCCCCGCCCCCUCAGCAUGACAUCAUCAAU